RNAcentral lists this transfer RNA (83 nucleotides) under Kineothrix sp. MB12-C1. Its description in RNAcentral is "tRNA-Leu". It matches the Rfam family "tRNA". From Rfam's summary of the family: Transfer RNA (tRNA) molecules are approximately 80 nucleotides in length. Their secondary structure includes four short double-helical elements and three loops (D, anti-codon, and T loops). Lineage: Bacteria; Bacillati; Bacillota; Clostridia; Lachnospirales; Lachnospiraceae. The record is from RNAcentral.
GCCGGCGUGGCGGAAUGGCAGACGCACCAGACUCAAAAUCUGGCGAUGGCAACAUCGUACGAGUUCAAGUCUCGUCGCCGGCA